UGGAAGACUUGUGAUUGAGUUGUU
RNAcentral lists this microRNA (24 nucleotides) under Gyrodactylus salaris (gyrodactylosis fluke). Its description in RNAcentral is "gsa-miR-7-5p". Its record names the gene gsa-miR-7-5p. The record is from miRBase by way of RNAcentral. Lineage: Eukaryota; Metazoa; Platyhelminthes; Monogenea; Gyrodactylidea; Gyrodactylidae.